RNAcentral lists this ribosomal RNA (253 nucleotides) under uncultured bacterium. Its description in RNAcentral is "partial 16S ribosomal RNA". It matches the Rfam family "Bacterial small subunit ribosomal RNA", at positions 524 to 776 of the family's 1533-position model. The record is from RNAcentral.
UACGGAGGGGGUUAGGGUUGUUCGGGAUUACUGGGCGUAAAGCGCUCGUAGGCGGUUCAGAAAGUUGGGGGUGAAAUCCCGGGGCACAACCCCGGAAUUGCCUUCAAAACUCCUGGUCUUGAGUUCGAGAGAGGUGAGCGGAAUUCCGAGUGUAGAGGUGAAAUUCGUAGAUAUUCGGAAGAACACCAGUGGCGAAGGCGGCUAACUGGCGCGUUUCUGACGCUGAGGUGCGAAAGCGUGGGGAGCAAACAUG